AGAGCGAACGCUGGCGGCAGGCCUAACACAUGCAAGUCGAACGGACCCUUCGGGGUUAGUGGCGGACGGGUGAGUAACACGUGGGAACGUGCCUUUAGGUUCGGAAUAGCUCCUGGAAACGGGUGGUAAUGCCGAAUGUGCCCUUCGGGGGAAAGAUUUAUCGCCUUUAGAGCGGCCCGCGUCUGAUUAGCUUGUUGGUGAGGUAAUGGCCCACCAAGGCUACGAUCAGUAGCUGGUCUGAGAGGAUGACCAGCCACAUUGGGACUGAGACACGGCCCAAACUCCUACGGGAGGCAGCAGUGGGGAAUCUUGCGCAAUGGGCGAAAGCCUGACGCAGCCAUGCCGCGUGUAUGAUGAAGGUCUUAGGAUUGUAAAAAUACUUUCACCGGUGAAGAUAAUGACUGUAGCCGGAGAAGAAGCCCCGGCUAACUUCGUGCCAGCAGCCGC
RNAcentral lists this ribosomal RNA (447 nucleotides) under uncultured soil bacterium. RNAcentral's name for it is "bacterial SSU rRNA". It matches the Rfam family "Bacterial small subunit ribosomal RNA", at positions 26 to 518 of the family's 1533-position model. The record is from RNAcentral.